This 46-nucleotide transfer RNA is filed under the name Parablechnum bicolor. RNAcentral's name for it is "partial tRNA-Leu". Lineage: Eukaryota; Viridiplantae; Streptophyta; Polypodiopsida; Polypodiales; Blechnaceae. The record is from RNAcentral.
UGUUUGGAUUCGCAUAAUUCGUUCGGAGGCGAAAUAGGAAAACCAA